RNAcentral lists this ribosomal RNA (467 nucleotides) under uncultured bacterium. RNAcentral's name for it is "partial 16S ribosomal RNA". It matches the Rfam family "Bacterial small subunit ribosomal RNA", at positions 28 to 506 of the family's 1533-position model. The record is from RNAcentral.
GACGAACGCUGGCGGCGUGCUUAACACAUGCAAGUCGAACGGAAAGGCCCUGCUUUUGUGGGGUGCUCGAGUGGCGAACGGGUGAGUAACACGUGAGUAACCUGCCCUUGACUUUGGGAUAACUUCAGGAAACUGGGGCUAAUACCGGAUAGGAGCUCCUGCUGCAUGGUGGGGGUUGGAAAGUUUCGGCGGUUGGGGAUGGACUCGCGGCUUAUCAGCUUGUUGGUGGGGUAGUGGCUUACCAAGGCUUUGACGGGUAGCCGGCCUGAGAGGGUGACCGGCCACAUUGGGACUGAGAUACGGCCCAGACUCCUACGGGAGGCAGCAGUGGGGAAUAUUGCACAAGGGGCGGAAGCCUGAUGCAGCAACGCCGCGUGCGGGAUGACGGCCUUCGGGUUGUAAACCGCUUUCGCCUGUGACGAAGCGGGAGUGACGGUAAUGGGUAAAGAAGCACCGGCUAACUACGG